CGCUAGUGCCUGUCAAUGUAUCUUGGCUUAAUGUUGUACCCCCCCUGGGGGUUUGCAGAUUUUUUUAUUUCUCAACUGUCAAUUUCCCACUCCCAGGCAAAUAAAGAAAGCCAAUUCCCCCAUACUGGGGACAACAUUCACAAACCAUUUUUGCACACAAACACAUCAAAAUUUCACAAAUGUCAACUUGUGAAAGGCAUCCAUUAAGCGAUUAAAGGAUUAACUUCCCAUUCUCUCGUGCCAGGCGGUAGCUUCCAGGGUCUUAGCUAGGAUUUUAGAUCUUGGGCGUGUUUCUAAUGACCAGGGCGUGCACAUGUCAAUUACUUUGAAUAGCAAAAUAAUGGCUCUAGUUAUGCUCGCCAACAACAAUGCCUGUGGUUGUUCUAUGCUUUGCAGCCAAAUACAAGGCGAGCAUACGCUCAUAUUGCGCACUGACAAUUAAGUUAUUUCAACAAAAUUAAAACCAUUUCAACACCAUACAGUUCCCAUUAUCCAUCAAAACAUUAAAACAUCACGGAUCACUUUUGCCAAUUCAACAACAACAGUAGAUUCUACAAAUUUUCUUGACGUAAAUAGGAAGAAAUUCUGUCUGUCGUAAGUAUAGCACCACCUUAUUUUAUGAACCUAUAUACACGGCCUUAUAUAAAUAGUGUAGCCGCGUUCAUUUUAUCUAACCGUGUUUUUGCACUUUUGGCCGCGAUAACACGGCCAACACGGCCCUCUAGCUAAGACCCUGGUAGCUUCCCAUUCUCUCGUGCCCGCGAAUACCGCCUGCUACGCAGGCUAUUUAACAUUUAAAUGUUGUGAAUUGUGAUAGAUUCUUGAUUUCCAUAUAGUUGGCAAAAUAAAGAUGUGAUUGGGUGGGACAAAGGCCAGACAAACUCGAUUUUGUGUGGAGAGCUAAGGGGGUGUCCCCCAAAAAAUUUGAAUCUAGAAGCUCUUAAGUUAUGGCAAAGAUUUUUUAGGAUAUUAGCUUCUCCUCA
This is a non-coding RNA of Paramuricea clavata, 983 nucleotides long. NCBI's taxonomy places the organism in Eukaryota, Metazoa, Cnidaria, Anthozoa, Malacalcyonacea, Plexauridae. The record is from the annotation of a GenBank genome assembly.